RNAcentral lists this ribosomal RNA (516 nucleotides) under uncultured bacterium. RNAcentral describes it as "bacterial SSU rRNA". It matches the Rfam family "Bacterial small subunit ribosomal RNA", at positions 992 to 1509 of the family's 1533-position model. The record is from RNAcentral.
AGAACUUUCCAGAGAUGGAUUGGUGCCUUCGGGAACUCUGAGACAGGUGCUGCAUGGCUGUCGUCAGCUCGUGUUGUGAAAUGUUGGUUAAGUCCCGCAACGAGCGCAACCCUUAUCCUUUGUUGCCAGCGAUUCGGUCGGGAACUCAAAGGAGACUGCCAGUGAUAAACUGGAGGAAGGUGGGGAUGACGUCAAGUCAUCAUGGCCCUUACGAGUAGGGCUACACACGUGCUACAAUGGCGCAUACAAAGAGAAGCGACCUCGCGAGAGCAAGCGGACCUCAUAAAGUGCGUCGUAGUCCGGAUUGGAGUCUGCAACUCGACUCCAUGAAGUCGGAAUCGCUAGUAAUCGUAGAUCAGAAUGCUACGGUGAAUACGUUCCCGGGCCUUGUACACACCGCCCGUCACACCAUGGGAGUGGGUUGCAAAAGAAGUAGGUAGCUUAACCUUCGGGAGGGCGCUUACCACUUUGUGAUUCAUGACUGGGGUGAAGUCGUAACAAGGUAAGCGUAGUGCU